This 494-nucleotide ribosomal RNA is filed under the name uncultured bacterium. RNAcentral describes it as "partial 16S ribosomal RNA". It matches the Rfam family "Bacterial small subunit ribosomal RNA", at positions 28 to 507 of the family's 1533-position model. The record is from RNAcentral.
GACGAACGCUGGCGGCGUGCUUAACACAUGCAAGUCGAACGGUGAAGCGCCUUCCUUUUUGGUGGGUGUGGAUGAGUGGCGAACGGUUGAGUAACACGUGAGUAACCUGCCCCCUUCUUCUGGAUAACCGCAUUAAAGUGUGUCUAAUACGGGAUAUUCUGCGUCUGUCUCAUGAUGGGUCUGGUAAAGAUAUUGUUUCGGUGGGGGAGGGGCUCGCGGCCUGUAAGCUUGUUGGUGGGGUGAUGGCCUACGACGGCGGUGACGGGUCGAAGGCCUGGGAGGGUGGACGGUCAGACUGGGACUGAGACACGGCUGGGACUGAUACGCGGCGCAGCAGCGGGGGAUAGUGAGCAGUGGGGGCAAGCCUGAUGCGGGGAGGACGCGUGAGGGGUGAAGGCGUUCGGGUUGUGAAGCUCUUUCGCCAGUGAAGCAGGCCUGCCUCGUUUGUGGGUGGGUUGACGGUAGCUGGAUAAGAAGCGCCGGCUAACUACGUG